Molecule: ribosomal RNA, 460 nt
Filed under: uncultured bacterium
Lineage: Bacteria
Description: partial 16S ribosomal RNA
Rfam family: Bacterial small subunit ribosomal RNA
Source: RNAcentral
CCUACGGGUGGCAGCAGUGAGGAAUAUUGGUCAAUGGACGAGAGUCUGAACCAGCCAAGUAGCGUGAAGGAUGACUGCCCUAUGGGUUGUAAACUUCUUUUAUAAAGGAAUAAAACGAGGCACGUGUGCCUUUUUGCAUGUACUUUAUGAAUAAGGAUCGGCUAACUCCGUGCCAGCAGCCGCGGUAAUACGGAGGAUCCGAGCGUUAUCCGGAUUUAUUGGGUUUAAAGGGAGCGUAGAUGGGUUGUUAAGUCAGUUGUGAAAGUUUGCGACUCAACCGUAAAAUUGCAAUUGAUACUGGCAGUCGUGAGUACAGUUGAGGUAGGCGGAAUUCGUGGUGUAGCGGUGAAAUGCUUAGAUAUCACGAAGAACCCCGAUUGCGAAGGCAGCUUACUAAACUGUGACUGACAUUGAUGCUCGAAAGUGUGGGUAUCAAACAGGAUUAGAUACCCCGGUAGUC